CAGUUCAGAUCGUAGGCUGCAACUCGCCUACGUGAAGGAGGAAUCGCUAGUAAUCGCAGGUCAGCAUACUGCGGUGAAUACGUUCCCGGGCCUUGUACACACCGCCCGUCACACCAUGGAAGUUGGCCACGCCCGAAGCCGUUACUCCAACCCUUGUGGAGGAGGACGUCGAAGGUGGGGCUGAUGACUGGGGUGAAGUCGUAACAAGGUAUCCGUACCGGAAGGUGCGGAUGGAUCACCUCCUAA
This 246-nucleotide ribosomal RNA is filed under the name uncultured cyanobacterium. RNAcentral describes it as "partial 16S ribosomal RNA". It matches the Rfam family "Bacterial small subunit ribosomal RNA", at positions 1289 to 1533 of the family's 1533-position model. Lineage: Bacteria; Bacillati; Cyanobacteriota. The record is from RNAcentral.